GAUGAACGCUGGCGGCGUGCUUAACACAUGCAAGUCGAACGGACUUGCCCACCGAAGCGGAAGAUGCUUGCAUACGAAGCUUCACCGGGCAAGUUAGUGGCGGACGGGUGAGUAACGCGUGGGGAACCUGCCCCGUACCGGGGGAUAACAGUUAGAAAUGACUGCUAAUACCGCAUAAGCGCACACUGAGGCAUCUCAGAGUGUGAAAAACUCCGGUGGUACGGGAUGGACCCGCGUUGGAUUAGCCAGUUGGCGGGGUAACGGCCCACCAAAGCGACGAUCCAUAGCCGGCCUGAGAGGGCGACCGGCCACAUUGGGACUGAGACACGGCCCAAACUCC
This 340-nucleotide ribosomal RNA is filed under the name uncultured Ruminococcus sp. Its description in RNAcentral is "bacterial SSU rRNA". It matches the Rfam family "Bacterial small subunit ribosomal RNA", at positions 28 to 339 of the family's 1533-position model. The record is from RNAcentral. Lineage: Bacteria; Bacillati; Bacillota; Clostridia; Eubacteriales; Oscillospiraceae.